RNAcentral lists this transfer RNA (66 nucleotides) under Paphia euglypta. RNAcentral describes it as "tRNA-Ser". The record is from RNAcentral. Lineage: Eukaryota; Metazoa; Mollusca; Bivalvia; Venerida; Veneridae.
GGAUUUUAUAUUGGAUAGUGAUUAGUUUGAACCUAAUCGAAGGGUGUUCGAUUCACCCAAGAUCCU